This 484-nucleotide ribosomal RNA is filed under the name uncultured bacterium. Its description in RNAcentral is "partial 16S ribosomal RNA". It matches the Rfam family "Bacterial small subunit ribosomal RNA", at positions 30 to 523 of the family's 1533-position model. The record is from RNAcentral.
AUUGAACGCUGGCGGCGUGCUUAACACAUGCAAGUCGAACGAGAACGGAUUAUAGCUUGCUAUAAUUGUCAGCUAAGUGGCGCACGGGUGAGUAAUGUAUAGGUAAUAUGCCUCUUACUAAGGGAUAACAAAUGGAAACGUUUGCUAAUACCUUAUACUCCUUAUUAACAGAAGUUAAUAAGGGAAAGAUUUAUUGGUAAGAGAUUAGCCUGUAUUGUAUCAGUUAGUUGGUGGGGUAAUGGCUUACCAAGACUAUGACACAUAACUGGUUUGAGAGGAUGAUCAGUCACACUGGAACUGAGACACGGUCCAGACUCCUACGGGAGGCAGCAGUGGGGAAUAUUGCACAAUGGACGGAAGUCUGAUGCAGCAACGCCGCGUGGAGGAUGACACAUUUCGGUGCGUAAACUCCUUUUAUAUGAGAAGAUAAUGACGGUAUUAUAUGAAUAAGCACCGGCUAACUCCGUGCCAGCAGCCGCGGUAA